GAUGAACGCUGGCGGCGUGCCUAAUACAUGCAAGUCGAGCGAACAGAUAAGGAUCUUGCUCCUUUGACGUUAGCGGCGGACGGGUGAGUAACACGUGGGUAACCUACCUAUAAGACUGGAAUAACUCCGGGAAACCGGGGCUAAUGCCGGAUAACAUUUAGAACCGCAUGGUUCUAAAGUGAAAGAUGGUUUUGCUAUCACUUAUAGAUGGACCCGCGCCGUAUUAGCUAGUUGGUAAGGUAACGGCUUACCAAGGCAACGAUACGUAGCCGACCUGAGAGGGUGAUCGGCCACACUGGAACUGAGACACGGUCCAGACUCCUACGGGAGGCAGCAGUAGGGAAUCUUCCGCAAUGGGCGAAAGCCUGACGGAGCAACGCCGCGUGAGUGAUGAAGGUCUUCGGAUCGUAAAACUCUGUUAUUAGGGAAGAACAAAUGUGUAAGUAACUGUGCACGUCUUGACGGUACCUAAUCAGAAAGCCACGGCUAACUACGUG
RNAcentral lists this ribosomal RNA (497 nucleotides) under uncultured bacterium. RNAcentral's name for it is "partial 16S ribosomal RNA". It matches the Rfam family "Bacterial small subunit ribosomal RNA", at positions 28 to 507 of the family's 1533-position model. The record is from RNAcentral.